UACAGAGGGUGCAAGCGUUGUUCGGAAUCAUUGGGCGUAAAGGGCGUGCAGGCGGUCUGUUAAGUGCAGGGUGAAAGCUCCCGGCUCAACUGGGAGAGGUCCUUGCAUACUGGCGGACUUGAGGGGGGUAGAGGAAAGUGGAAUUCCCGGUGUAGUGGUGAUAUGCGUAGAUAUCGGGAGGAACACCUGUGGCGAAGGCGGCUUUCUGGGCCCUACCUGACGCUGAGACGCGAAAGCGUGGGGAGCGAACCGG
Molecule: ribosomal RNA, 253 nt
Filed under: uncultured bacterium
Lineage: Bacteria
Description: partial 16S ribosomal RNA
Rfam family: Bacterial small subunit ribosomal RNA
Source: RNAcentral